This 1083-nucleotide ribosomal RNA is filed under the name Beauveria scarabaeidicola. Its description in RNAcentral is "SSU rRNA". It matches the Rfam family "Eukaryotic small subunit ribosomal RNA", at positions 27 to 1122 of the family's 1831-position model. The record is from RNAcentral. Lineage: Eukaryota; Fungi; Ascomycota; Sordariomycetes; Hypocreales; Cordycipitaceae.
UAUGCUUGUCUCAAAGAUUAAGCCAUGCAUGUCUAAGUAUAAGCAAUUAUACAGCGAAACUGCGAAUGGCUCAUUAUAUAAGUUAUCGUUUAUUUGAUAGUACCUUACUACUUGGACAACCGUGGUAAUUCUAGAGCUAAUACAUGCUGAAAAUCCCGACUUCGGAAGGGAUGUAUUUAUUAGAUUAAAAACCAAUGCCCUCUGGGCUCCUUGGUGAUUCAUAAUAACUUUUCGAAUCGCACGGCCUUGCGCCGGCGAUGGUUCAUUCAAAUUUCUUCCCUAUCAACUUUCGAUGUUUGGGUAUUGGCCAAACAUGGUCGCAACGGGUAACGGAGGGUUAGGGCUCGACCCCGGAGAAGGAGCCUGAGAAACGGCUACUACAUCCAAGGAAGGCAGCAGGCGCGCAAAUUACCCAAUCCCGAUUCGGGGAGGUAGUGACAAUAAAUACUGAUACAGGGCUCUUUUGGGUCUUGUAAUUGGAAUGAGUACAAUUUAAAUCUCUUAACGAGGAACAAUUGGAGGGCAAGUCUGGUGCCAGCAGCCGCGGUAAUUCCAGCUCCAAUAGCGUAUAUUAAAGUUGUUGUGGUUAAAAAGCUCGUAGUUGAACCUUGGGCCUGGCUGGCCGGUCCGCCUCACCGCGUGUACUGGUCCGGCCGGGCCUUUCCCUCUGUGGAACCUCAUGCCCUUCACUGGGUGUGGCGGGGAAACAGGACUUUUACUUUGAAAAAAUUAGAGUGCUCCAGGCAGGCCUAUGCUCGAAUACAUUAGCAUGGAAUAAUAAAAUAGGACGUGUGGUUCUAUUUUGUUGGUUUCUAGGACCGCCGUAAUGAUUAAUAGGGACAGUCGGGGGCAUCAGUAUUCAAUUGUCAGAGGUGAAAUUCUUGGAUUUAUUGAAGACUAACUACUGCGAAAGCAUUUGCCAAGGAUGUUUUCAUUAAUCAGGAACGAAAGUUAGGGGAUCGAAGACGAUCAGAUACCGUCGUAGUCUUAACCAUAAACUAUGCCGACUAGGGAUCGGACGAUGUUAUUUUUUGACGCGUUCGGCACCUUACGAGAAAUCAAAGUGCUUGGGCUCCAGGGGGA